RNAcentral lists this ribosomal RNA (387 nucleotides) under Sarsia sp. Its description in RNAcentral is "partial small subunit ribosomal RNA". It matches the Rfam family "Eukaryotic small subunit ribosomal RNA", at positions 582 to 975 of the family's 1831-position model. The record is from RNAcentral. Lineage: Eukaryota; Metazoa; Cnidaria; Hydrozoa; Anthoathecata; Corynidae.
AUUCCAGCUCCAAUAGCGUAUAUUAAAGUUGUUGCAGUUAAAAAGCUCGUAGUUGGAUUUCGGAAUGGGUCAAUUGGUCCGCCGCAAGGUGAGUUACUGGUUGGUCUGUUCUUCUUCGCAAAGACUGCGUAUGCACUUUAUUGGGUGUGCGUAGGAUUUACGACGUUUACUUUGAAAAAAUUAGAGUGUUCAAAGCAGGCUAUCGCUUGAAUACAUGAGCAUGGAAUAAUGGAAUAGGACUCUGGUUCUAUUUUGUUGGUUUUGAGGACCAGAGUAAUGAUUAAUAGGGAUAGUUGGGGGCAUUCAUAUUUAAUUGUCAGAGGUGAAAUUCUUGGAUUUAUGAAAGAUGAACUUCUGCGAAAGCAUUUGCCAGGGAUGUUUUCAUUA